CACCCGCACGUAUAGAUGGACAAGAAUAGGCUUCGGCUUAGCGUCUUAGCAGGCGAUUCCUCCACGGCGCUCGAAGCGCGUCGUGGUAUUUCGCGUAUUGUAAUUUCAACACGAGCGGGGUCAAAUCCUUUGCAGACGACUUAGCUGUGCGAAACGGUCCUGUAAGCAGUAGAGUAGCCUUGUUGUUACGAUCUGCUGAGGGUAAGCCGUCCUUCGCCUCGAUUU
RNAcentral lists this ribosomal RNA (225 nucleotides) under Fusarium sporotrichioides. RNAcentral describes it as "partial 28S ribosomal RNA". It matches the Rfam family "Eukaryotic large subunit ribosomal RNA", at positions 3166 to 3399 of the family's 3401-position model. RNAcentral also lists the same sequence under 2 other names. Lineage: Eukaryota; Fungi; Ascomycota; Sordariomycetes; Hypocreales; Nectriaceae. The record is from RNAcentral.